This 253-nucleotide ribosomal RNA is filed under the name uncultured bacterium. RNAcentral's name for it is "partial 16S ribosomal RNA". It matches the Rfam family "Bacterial small subunit ribosomal RNA", at positions 524 to 776 of the family's 1533-position model. The record is from RNAcentral.
UACGAGAGGCCCAAACGUUAUUCGGAUUUACUGGGCUUAAAGAGUUCGUAGGCGGCUUGGAAAGUGGGGUGUGAAAGCCCUCGGCUUAACCGAGGAAUUGCGCUCCAAACUCCCAAGCUUGAGGAAGCUAGAGGUGAGCAGAACAGAUGGUGGAGCGGUGAAAUGCAUUGAUAUCAUCUGGAAUACCGGAGGCGAAGGCGGCUCACUGGGACUUUUCUGACGCUGAGGAACGAAAGCCAGGGUAGCGAACGGG